This is a long non-coding RNA of Ailuropoda melanoleuca (giant panda), 1611 nucleotides long. RefSeq lists it as uncharacterized. The record is from RefSeq and is a predicted model, not a curated record. The transcript is spliced from 2 exons. NCBI's taxonomy places the organism in Eukaryota, Metazoa, Chordata, Mammalia, Carnivora, Ursidae.
UUGACGGAGACACACAGCUCCCUUUUCUUGCUAAGGGGUGCUGGGGAGGGGUUGGGGUGGGGUGAGUGUGUGUGUAUGUGUGACAGCUGCUUGGUUGAGUCGAACAUCUAUCUCCACAGUGGGAGGUCUCUGAGCAGGGCUUAAAUAUUGGGCAGGGUUGGGCUCCUGUCUAGAAAUUUAUUUUCCAUAGCAAGUGGCCUUGCGGGGGGACAGUGUGCUCCUUGGUCAACAGCCGGAGAGGGGUAUCUGUGAGCUGGUCCUUGAGCCUGGUUCUGGGGCUGCAGUCGCAGCUUUGCCAGCCCCCUCUGGUCCUGGCAGCCCCUGCAGUGCUCAUUGGAUGGCAGAAGGGGGCGCUAGUUCUCAUAUUGAGAGGAAAUCUCUGGCUCUGGUAGGUCUUGGGACAUUUAAGGUCUUGGGAGAACCACUUAAUUCAGCUUUCUGAGACCCGACUUGCUACCAGACGCUUUUCCACAUUUGAGUUCAUGUAUCCUUGUUUUUCAUGUUUGGAAAUUGACGCCGAGGGAGGUAAAGAACUUUCCUGAGGCUGUUGCAGCUUGUGGGUAAGAGGCACGGCUUAGGGUUUGAUUCCAAGAGGCAGGGGUUCCUCCUUCUAAGCCCAGGGAGCUUUCCACACUAGGGCUUAUGAGCUGAAGAGUGUUUUGGUAACCUCUGACUUUCCGUACCUUGUUUAGCAUCAGCCCUAGAGUGGGUGCCCUGUGUUUGCUGAGUGUAUCCAGGGCAGCCUCUCCUUCCUCAUUCCUGAUGAGGAAGCUCAGGCACGGGGCGGGGCGAGAGGGGGGCUCCGGAGCGCGAGGCCCCCUCUCCACGUGUGCCCGCACUGGAGCCCUGUGAAUUUCCAGGAGGCUGGUUUGAUGAUAGGCUGCUGCCGCUUUGUUUGCACAUUCCCGGUCCGUGCCCACAUUGGUAUGGGGUAGGUGGCAUCUUUGCCCUUUUCUCGAGGCUUAAACUGAUACAGUCAACGUCUGAAAUGUCUUCUAGUGAUGGAGAACCAUCAGGUAGUGUUACCGGCAAUAACCUUUGACGCUUUUUAAAACAAUGUGCGUCCGGAAUCUCAAGCAGUCAAACCCUCCCUCGCGACGGGCAGAGCAGGGACUGGUCCGUCCGUGGCUCCGUUUGAGGGUCGUUCUGAAUAUGGUUAGAAGCGAGGAAAACGAAAACACAUUGUUGCAUCCAACCUGGGGUUUUCAAAGUGAAUUACGUUCUUAAUCAUUUAACAUCUUGUUAGUUUUUUGUUUUUUUUUGGUUUUUUUUGGUUAAAACGCAUUCAGUGCCUCUUAUGUGGUUACAGAUAUAGAUAUGAAUAUGACACAGUGCCUGUCAUCAAAACAUUCACAGUUUAGUGGGGAAGGCAGACCAUGUGUUAGGGAUACACAUUUGCGAGCAGAGAUGGGAGGCAUCCAGCCCAGCGUGGAAAUGAUGUCUGAGCUGAGCUUCAAGGGUGAUUCUCAAGUGGUCAGCCUUGAACGGCGGUCCCAGUGCAGAGCAAAUAAGACAAGCAAGGGGUAGGAGGUGAGAAAGCAGCCUGGAGUUUGCAGUUCCUGGAGGCAGGGAGCGACAAGAGGAGAGGUUGCAAGGAUGGAUGGAGAUUUU